RNAcentral lists this ribosomal RNA (305 nucleotides) under uncultured bacterium. RNAcentral's name for it is "bacterial SSU rRNA". It matches the Rfam family "Bacterial small subunit ribosomal RNA", at positions 331 to 630 of the family's 1533-position model. The record is from RNAcentral.
UCAAACCUACGGGAGGCAGCAGUAGGGAAUUUUCGUCAAUGGGCGCAAGCCUGAACGAGCAAUGCCGCGUGAACGAGGAAGGUCUUCGGAUCGUAAAGUUCUGUUGAAGGGGAAAAAGAGCGGAGAGAGGAAAUGGUCUCCGAUUGAUAUUACCCUUCGAGGAAGUCACGGCUAACUACGUGCCAGCAGCCGCGGUAAUACGUAGGUGGCGAGCGUUAUCCGGAUUUAUUGGGUGUAAAGGGCGUGUAGGCGGGAAUGCAAGUCAGAUGUGAAAACUAUGGGCUCAACCCAUAGCCUGCAUUUGA